UCUGAUGGGUCAGACGGUAAAGAAUCUGCCUGUAAUGCAGGAGACCUGGGUUAGAUCCCUGCGUCAGGA
Molecule: transfer RNA, 69 nt
Filed under: Capra hircus (goat)
Lineage: Eukaryota; Metazoa; Chordata; Mammalia; Artiodactyla; Bovidae
Also listed under: 1 other name
Rfam family: tRNA
About the family: Transfer RNA (tRNA) molecules are approximately 80 nucleotides in length.
Source: Rfam by way of RNAcentral